Gambusia affinis (western mosquitofish) is the source of this 3705-nucleotide long non-coding RNA. RefSeq lists it as uncharacterized. The transcript is spliced from 4 exons. Lineage: Eukaryota; Metazoa; Chordata; Actinopteri; Cyprinodontiformes; Poeciliidae. The record is from RefSeq and is a predicted model, not a curated record.
UUUCUACAGUCAGGGCCUCCCCACAGCCCGCCCUUCCAUAGACGGAGCUGCUUUUUCUUUUUUUUUUUUCUCUCUCUCUCCUUUUUUUUCCACUCACUACUAGCUGGAUUUUAACCCUCUGCUUCCAACUAGCUGCACAGCAGCAGUUCUGCAAAACCUGGCAACAAGUUGAUAUUCCAGGGGCCUUUUCUCUGACUUUUGCCGCAUAGAUUGUUUUUUUGCGUCCGUCUUCGGAUUUUCUCGCCCUUUUGCUGUUGAAUUUCCUUUUUUUUUUUUUUUUACUUAAAAAGAACAAAAUAUUACAACUUUGUUGGGGAUUUUUCCCCCCUCCUCUUCUCUUACGGUGUUCGUGUCGAAUCCGUUCGCGUCUUCUGGUUUUCUUUUGGAUGGAUUUUUAACAUUUUUUUUAUUUUUUACCUUUUUCCUUUUCGGCGGCCGGGUGCGUGGGGACGAGGGGGCAAGGAGGGGGGCACGAGGGAUGAAAUUUCUCCGCUGGAUGGGAGAGCCGGGGCGCCAUUUCGGGUAACCUGCUUGCGGUACGCUUGCGGUCUGGAUGACCACACAGUGGAUGGCAGCGAGGAGAACGCGGCCUGUGUGGCCGGAAGGCGGCUGUUGCACGUUUCAGUGUUUCUAAACACCCGUCCGCCAUCGACACUUUUGACCCGCAUGAACUUCCGUACCCUGUUUGUUUUUUCGCUCCGCUUUUUGCCCCCCUCUUGUUUCCUUCCCGUGUCUUGCCGUUCGUCUCUCCCCCUCUCUCUCUCCCUCUCUCUCUCGCUCUCUCCCCGCUUCACGAUGACUGAAAGGGAACGAGUGGAGAGCUGAGCCGAAGCGCUUUCUGGGACAGGUGCCAACUCCAGACAAAAGAAAAUUUUAAACUCAGCAGAGGGAAAAUGUUCCGAGUCGGAAAACAAUCUUAGAAUAGUUGCACCGGAAUAUCUGGUGUUUGCACGUUGCGCCCUUUGCAUGUACAAAUUGUUCCCCUGUGAUUGUCUGUUUCUGUGUGUGUGUGUUGAAACUAAAUGUUUCAGCAGCAAACUAAACACUUUGACACUUUUCUGGUUCGGAGUGAAAGCAUCUGAUUCGGGGCGUGAUGAGGGGAGCGCGGCGUACGGAAAAGCUGCAUUAUUCACGCCGAGGCUGGGAUUUGGAGCGCCCGUGCCAUUUGCAUGCAUCAGACAUGCCGUGUGCCUGUUUGCUAACAUUCCUCACUGAAAGACUUGUUAACCGGGGCGGACAGGGCCGAGCCGGAGCCCCGCGGACCACCGCGUGGCGGCCUCUCGUUGUGUCGGGCCCUCGCGCGGCCGGCCCAGACCGGACCGGACCGUCCGCUGGAGAGGAGACGGGCUAGCUGUCGCUAAGGUGGGUGGAGGGGUGGCAGCCGAGGCUGGAAGGUGGGACUGACCCCGAGAGCUGCAGCCGGAACUGAAGGCUGAGCUGGAAAUGGGGCCGUCUGAUGGAAUGGGCAGAGGAGGUACGGAUCUACGACGAGGAGCGCUGGCCGGAAAUUCAUCCCCAGAACAAACAUUCGGCUCCUCGCUCUCUGGAGUCUGUUGUGGGAUGGCGUUCUAGCCUCUGGCGCUAAUAUUUGGCCAACAAGUGACGUUGUGGGAAGUCAAAGGCAGCAUUAUGAAGACUACCUGAUGUGCUGCUGACACCGUGACGGGGCGGGAGGCCAGCCGGCCCGUUCGCCCCCGUCCCCGCUCCUCGCCGCGCGUUACGGAGCAGGUGAGAAGCAUUAACAGAGGCAGCAGCUGCGGCCCUGUGCUCCACACACGUGGACUAGGAUGAGCGCUUUGUUGUGCUCAGCCACUCUCGGUAAUGUUCAGGCUCUUCUUGUCUUGGAAACAAAGAAAAGCAGCUCUAGGAGACCCUACAGAGCAUCGUGCAUGUUGCGCCGCUCCGACAACGCCUCGCCAACGUGUUCAAACCUCCUGAACGUUCACACCUUUUCGCCAUGUUACGAACGCAAACUUUAAUGUGUUUUUAUGAUGGCGACUCCGGAAACGAUGCAAAGAAAAGAUGCAUGACUUUUGGUUUUCUUUACAAAUAAAAAUCUGAAAAGUGUGGUGUGCAUUUGCGUUGAACCCCGUUUUCUGUGAUACUCUUAAAUACAAUUCAGUGCCACUUAGUAAAUAAAUGGAGCCCACCUGUGUGUGAUUUAAUCUCAGUGUAAAUGCAGCCAUUGUUGUUUGCAGUUGGCCACCUGCCCUGCAGGGGGCGUCGUGAAAACGUUGCAGUAGUGAGCUUAUUUUUGUAUCCAAAGUGGUAAAUUAAUCCUGCAGAUCUCCCUGACCUCACCAUCCCCACUGUGAAACAUGGCAGUGGCAGCAUGAUGCUGUGGGGACACUUGUCUUCAGCAACAACAAGGAAGUUGGUCAAAGUUCCUGCUACGUUAGACGGAACUACAACGGAAUGAUUCACAUUAUUGCAUAUUCAAUGUGAAUGGCCUAGUCAAAGGCCAGACCUAAAACCAUAUGAGAAUCUGUCACAAGACUUUAAAAUUGCUCUCCAUCCAACCUGGACUGAGGUUUUACUUCACAACUAUGCACGACUCUGCCUCCCCCGCAGCAUGAUACCCCCACUGCCGUGUUGGACAGUGGAAAAAGUUCGGUUUUGUUCUCAUUAAACCAGAGUUUCUUUUUCCACAUGUGGUUUGUGUACAAACAGCACUUCUUAUAGUUUCAUAUAUACAUAUAUGUAUUUAACCUUUGUUUCUACAGGUCGUCUCAUUGAGAUCCAAAAUCUCAUUUACAAGACGGACUUGUUUCAAUUAAACAAAACAAAUAAACUUGCAAUCACAGCAAAGUGAGCAAUUAAGAAUAAAAUAUCUAUUCAAAAUCAAUUUACAAACUAAUAAUUGUUAAUUUGGUAAAUAUUUAAAUGGACUUAGGCGAAUUUUAAGAGAAAAAAGUUUGAGAAGUAUCGGACUAAAGUCAUGCUAAAAUCACACCACUAUGUUUUUUAUUUGUAAAAAUCAUGAGUUAAUUUCCUUCAUUUUUCUUAAUUAUACGCUACUUUAUGUCGAUCUAUCACAAAAUAUCAUCAAAGUCCAUUGAGGUUUGUUUUUGCGACAUGACAGCGGGUAUGAAUAUAUUAAAACAUUCUCAAUCAUCUUGUGUUGAUUUGAUGUAAUUGUGAUUUAAAUCUGCUCCACCGACUUUUCAUACGUAAACUCAAAGUGGGACAAUCAGGAGGUAACGCUGAUUAAAUGUAACGCCACAUUGUUACACUUUUUGUGGUUAAACCUAUCAGUUCCAAUCACGCCCGCGGCAUGCAAGUUACCCACAGGUUGCAUUUGAAUGUGAAAAUAUCUUUGCCCGAGCAAUUUGUUUGGGAAAUGGGUGCCCCAGUCAGAUCAUUUGAAUUCCCCUUCAGCCUGAGCCAUGAACUCGAAGACCCAGUUGUCACAUUGUGCUCUCCACACACAGGCUCCUUUCACGGCGCGGCGUCCCAGAGGAGAGCGCUGCGCGUGUUUGUGUUUCUGUGAAUCAUAACUGCUGCUUUGCAUUCAGCGAGGUGUGUGUCGAAGCGGAUUACAGGCAUGAACUCAGGCGGGACCAGAGAGAGGAAGCUGUAUUUUUUUUUUGUUUUUUUAUUAUUAUUUUUUUUAUUUUUUAUUUUUUUUUUUACCUCAAGACUGUCCUUUGGGGUGAGGUAGUAGGUUGUAUAGUUUUAGGGGUCACACCCUUUCUGUCAGAUAAC